This 111-nucleotide non-coding RNA is filed under the name Octodon degus (degu). The record is from RNAcentral. Lineage: Eukaryota; Metazoa; Chordata; Mammalia; Rodentia; Octodontidae.
GUGUUGUAUGAAAGGAGAGAAGGUUAGCACUCCCUUUGACAAGGAUGGAAGAGGCCCUCGGGUCUGACAACAGCCAUGUGGUUAAGGCAUUGCCACCUACUCCAAUUAUGU